AAACAUAAGAGUUUGAUCCUGGCUCAGAUUGAACGCUGGCGGCAUGCUUUACACAUGCAAGUCGGACGGCAGCACAGAGAAGCUUGCUUCUUGGGUGGCGAGUGGCGAACGGGUGAGUAACAUAUCGGAACGUACCGAGCAGUGGGGGAUAACUAAUCGAAAGAUUAGCUAAUACCGCAUAUAUUCUGAGGAAGAAAG
RNAcentral lists this non-coding RNA (198 nucleotides) under Neisseria mucosa ATCC 25996. RNAcentral's name for it is "Bacterial small subunit ribosomal RNA". It matches the Rfam family "Bacterial small subunit ribosomal RNA", at positions 1 to 206 of the family's 1533-position model. The record is from Rfam by way of RNAcentral. Lineage: Bacteria; Pseudomonadati; Pseudomonadota; Betaproteobacteria; Neisseriales; Neisseriaceae.